GUAAAGGGAGCGUAGGCGGAUAUUUAAAGUGGGAUGUGAAAUCCCCGGGCUUAACCCGGGGGUUGCAUUCCAAACUGGAUAUCUAGAGUGCAGGAGAGGAAAAGUGGAUUUCCUAGUGUAGCGGUGAAAUGGGUAGAGAUUAGGAAGAAACACCAGUGGCGAAGGCGACUUUCUGGACUGUAACUGACGCUGAGGCUCGAAAGCGUGGGGGAGCAAACAGGAUUAGAUACCCUGGGAGUCCACGCCGUAAACGAUGAAUACUAGGUGUAGGGGUUGUCAUGACCUCUGUGCCGCCGCUAACGCAUUAAGUAUUCCGCCUGGGGAGUACGGUCGCAAGAUUAAAACUCAAAGGAAUUGACGGGGGCCCGCACAAGUAGCGGAGCAUGUGGUUUAAUUCGAAGCAACGCGAAGAACCUUACCUAGACUUGACAUCUCCUGAAUUACCCGUAACUGGGGAAGUCGCUUCGGCGACAGGAAGACAGGUGGUGCAUGGUUGUCGUCAGCUCGUGUCGUGAGAUGUUGGGUUAAGUCCCGCAACGAGCGCAACCCUUAUUGUUAGUUGCUACCAUUUAGUUGAGCACUCUAGCGAGACUGCCGUGGUUAACGCGGAGGAAGGUGGGGAUGACGUCAAAUCAUCAUGCCCCUUAUGUCUAGGGCUACACACGUGCUACAAUGGCAAGUACAAAUAGAUGCAAUACCGUGAGGUGGAGCCAAACUAUAAAACUUGUCUCAGUUCGGAUUGUAGGCUGAAACUCGCCUACAUGAAGCUGGAGUUACUAGUAAUCGCGAAUCAGAAUGUCGCGGUGAAUACGUUCCCGGGCCUUGUACACACCGCCCGUCACACCAUGAGAGUUGGCAAUACCCGAAGUCCGUGAGGUAACCUUUUAGGAGCCAGCGGCCGAAGGUAGGGUCAGCGAUUGGGGUG
Molecule: ribosomal RNA, 925 nt
Filed under: uncultured bacterium
Lineage: Bacteria
Description: bacterial SSU rRNA
Rfam family: Bacterial small subunit ribosomal RNA
Source: RNAcentral